This 242-nucleotide ribosomal RNA is filed under the name uncultured bacterium. RNAcentral's name for it is "partial 16S ribosomal RNA". It matches the Rfam family "Bacterial small subunit ribosomal RNA", at positions 92 to 334 of the family's 1533-position model. The record is from RNAcentral.
CGAGUGGCGAACGGGUGAGUAACGCGUGAGGAACCUGCCUCAAAGAGGGGGACAACAGUUGGAAACGACUGCUAAUACCGCAUAAGCGCACAGUACCGCAUGGUACGGUGUGAAAAACUCCGGUGGUAUGAGAUGGACCCGCGUCUGAUUAGGUAGUUGGUGGGGUAACGGCCUACCAAGCCGACGAUCAGUAGCCGACCUGAGAGGGUGACCGGCCACAUUGGGACUGAGACACGGCCCAA